AGGUAAGUACUUGUACUUAUGCUGACGAGUGGCGGACGGGUGAGUAAUGCUUGGGAAUCUGGCUUAUGGAGGGGGAUAACUACGGGAAACUGUAGCUAAUACCGCGUAGUCUCUGAGGAGUAAAGUGUGGGACCGAAAGGCCACAUGCCAUAAGAUGAGCCCAAGUGGGAUUAGGUAGUUGGUGGGGUAAAGGCCUACCAAGCCGACGAUCUCUAGCUGGUCUGAGAGGAUGACCAGCCACACUGGAACUGAGACACGGUCCAGACUCCUACGGGAGGCAGCAGUGGGGAAUAUUGCGCAAUGGGGGGAACCCUGACGCAGCCAUGCCGCGUGAAUGAAGAAGGCCUUCGGGUUGUAAAGUUCUUUCGGUGAUGAGGAAGGCAAGUGAGUAAAUAGCUUACUUGAUUGACGUUAAUCACAGAAGAAGCACCGGCUAACUCCGUGCCAGCAGCCGCGGUAAUACGGAGGGUGCGAGCGUUAAUCGGAAUAACUGGGCGUAAAGGGCACGCAGGCGGCUAUUUAAGUGAGAUGUGAAAUCCCCGAGCUUAACUUGGGAAUUGCAUUUCAGACUGGGUAGCUAGAGUACUUUAGGGAGGGGUAGAAUUCCACGUGUAGCGGUGAAAUGCGUAGAGAUGUGGAGGAAUACCGAAGGCGAAGGCAGCCCCUUGGGAAUGUACUGACGCUCAUGUGCGAAAGCGUGGGGAGCAAACAGGAUUAGAUACCCUGGUAGUCCACGCUGUAAACGAUGUCGAUUUGGGGAUUGGGCUAUAAGCUUGGUGCCCGAAGCU
This 788-nucleotide ribosomal RNA is filed under the name uncultured bacterium. RNAcentral's name for it is "SSU rRNA". It matches the Rfam family "Bacterial small subunit ribosomal RNA", at positions 70 to 853 of the family's 1533-position model. The record is from RNAcentral.